AAUCUUGCGCAAUGGGCGAAAGCCUGACGCAGCCAGGCCGCGUGAAUGAUGAAGGCCUUAGGAUUGUAAAAUUCUUUCACCGGGGACGAGAACGACGGUACCCGGAGAAGAAGCCCCGGCUAACCUCGUGCCAGCAGCCGCGGUAAUACGAAGGGGUCUAGCGUUGCUCGGAAUUACUGGGCGUAAAGGUCGCGUAGGCGGAUCGUUAAGUCAGGGGGGAAGUCCCAGGGCUCAACCCUGGAACUGCCUUUGAUACUGGCGAUCUUGAGUAUGAGAGAGGUAUGUGGAACUCCGAGUGUAGAGGUGAGAUUCGUAGAUAUUCGGAAGAACACCAGUGGCGAAGGCGACAUACUGGCUCAUUACUGACGCUGAGGCGCGAAAGCGUGGGGAGCAAACAG
Molecule: ribosomal RNA, 398 nt
Filed under: uncultured bacterium
Lineage: Bacteria
Description: partial 16S ribosomal RNA
Rfam family: Bacterial small subunit ribosomal RNA
Source: RNAcentral